GGGAAGAGAAAUCCUAGCAGUUCUCUUGAUUCCAUUUCACUGUCGAAACGAUACUGGAGCACUUUUUUUGCACAUACCUAAAGGAAAAUCCCAAAUAACGAGCACCUAGCGACUUUGUUUAAGUGCAAUAGAGGAACUGUACGAGACAGUUUGCCCGUACACGGUGCGUUGCGGAGGGAUUUAGAAAUAAAAACCCAGUGUUGUGCAGUUGCAUUCCCUACCACUUCACUUGCGCUGGAUACGGGGAGGCUUUGACUUUUUUCAUCCCAGUUUCUGUCUCAAAACAACCGUAUUCUCGUCUAAAUCUGCUGAAGAACCUGACGGGGCAGAAGCCAUCAUCCCACAGAACAUACUAAAGGCCUGGGGAAGUCAUUAGCCACCACACACAACAGGACACUGGGUCUGCGUUUUCAAACCAGAUGGCCCAGCUGCGUGACAGUAUUCACCUGGGUGACUGGCAAGUGUUGAUGAAAUCACUCUCACACAUGCUGAGUGGUUAUUCCAAUUCAUUGAUUUUCUAUCAAACUGCUCUUGAAUGGGACUGUAGUCUGGCCAUUGUCAUAUCGUCGAGGUUGGAAAUGUCCGAGGUGGGAUGUGGAAUAGUGUAGAACGAACUUAAUGCGUAUGCUGAGUUUCUCUAAUACUGGAGAGCCAGAUCUCUCUUCUCUGUACUGUGCCGAUAGCCCGAUACAUAGGACAGAUUGGUACACCAAUACAUUUUCUUUGCUAGGCUCUGAGAUCUGCUAGUUGAAAUUCAUAUAUUAAUCAAGUGAAUGGACUGCUUGGUUAGUCACUUCAUACGGGAAUGGUUCAUUCAGAGAAAACAACAGAGACAAAGAGAUGAUGGUUAGCCCAAGAUGUUGAAUGGGACUUGGUUAGUAUGUUGUGUUGUGUUGUGUAGAUGCUGUUAUCACCAUGCCCUUGAAGGCACAUUCAUCAUAAGGCAUUUUUUUACACUGUAAUGAGACGUUGUCCACAAACACAGGUCUACAAUCAGUUCUCAGCAGGCACAACCACAACCCAAAGCAUCCAAAGUGACUACAGGAAACGGACCCAGGGUCUGUGCUUAGCUGAGCCUCCCAUGGUGAUGAGGAUUAGCUGGGUGACUGUAUCAGGGCCGGUCCCGUCUAUCUGUUUGAUAGGCUAAUUACCCUGAUUCUACACUUGUGCCCCAGAGAUAGACCUACAUGGAGGGAGGCACAUUUCUUCUCAACCCCCUCUUCCUCUUUCCCCUUUCCCUUAUUCUCUCUGACUCUUUCACCAUCUAUCUCAGCCCCCCCUCCUCUUUAUGUUUUCUCUUCCCCUCACAUUUUGUCCUAUCAAUUCCAUUCCAUUUCAAUUUAUGGAGUUUUAUUAGCAUGGGGAAAAAAAUGUACAUUGCCAAAGCAAGUGAAAUAAAUCAUAAACAAACGUUUACUGUUACUGUUCAUUC
Long non-coding RNA from Oncorhynchus tshawytscha (Chinook salmon), 1432 nucleotides. The record is from Ensembl. Lineage: Eukaryota; Metazoa; Chordata; Actinopteri; Salmoniformes; Salmonidae.